GUGGAAUCACCACAUACUUGAUCACAUCUCUUCACGAUACAGAGAAGAUUAGCAUGGCCUCUGUGCAAGAAUGACACACAAAUUCUUGAAGCAUUCCAUAUUUUU
Small nuclear RNA from Pristis pectinata (smalltooth sawfish), 105 nucleotides. The record is from RefSeq and is a predicted model, not a curated record. NCBI's taxonomy places the organism in Eukaryota, Metazoa, Chordata, Chondrichthyes, Rhinopristiformes, Pristidae.